RNAcentral lists this ribosomal RNA (500 nucleotides) under uncultured bacterium. Its description in RNAcentral is "bacterial SSU rRNA". It matches the Rfam family "Bacterial small subunit ribosomal RNA", at positions 28 to 518 of the family's 1533-position model. The record is from RNAcentral.
GAUGAACGCUAGCGAUAGGCCUAACACAUGCAAGUCGAGGGGCAGCACAUGAGUAGCAAUACGAUGGUGGCGACCGGCGCACGGGUGAGUAACACGUAUGCAACCUACCUCUAACAGGGGGAUAACCCGUUGAAAGACGGACUAAUACCCCAUAAUACAGGGGCUCCGCAUGGAGAUAUUUGUUAAAGAUUUUAUCGGUUAGAGAUGGGCAUGCGUUCCAUUAGCUAGUUGGUGAGGUAACGGCUCACCAAGGCGACGAUGGAUAGGGGAACUGAGAGGUUUAUCCCCCACACUGGAACUGAGACACGGUCCAGACUCCUACGGGAGGCAGCAGUGAGGAAUAUUGGUCAAUGGAGGCAACUCUGAACCAGCCAAGUCGCGUGAAGGAUGAAGGUCUUAUGGAUUGUAAACUUCUUUUGCAGGGGAAUAAAUAGCGGUACGUGUACCGUUUUGCAUGUACCCUGCGAAUAGGAUCGGCUAACUCCGUGCCAGCAGCCGAC